Long non-coding RNA from Hyaena hyaena (striped hyena), 223 nucleotides. RefSeq lists it as uncharacterized. Lineage: Eukaryota; Metazoa; Chordata; Mammalia; Carnivora; Hyaenidae. The transcript is spliced from 3 exons. The record is from RefSeq and is a predicted model, not a curated record.
AAGUUGGCCACUCAACCCACUGAGCUACUCAGGAGGAGAGGAUGUGCAGAGCCACGUGGGGAAGCACCAAGGUGGGUCAAGAAGAGAAGAAUCAAGGAGAAAACAAAACCACAGAGCCUCAGCUGCAGUCUCCAUGAGAAGGACUGAGUGAGGCAAGCUGCUGUAGCUCCUGGUCACCUUGCUGGAUGGAUUCAGUGUCACAAAGACUCAGACAUGGAAAAAA